CACUAGGACCUGGGGGAGGCUGCUGCUGCGGAGGCUGAUGCACAUGCUACUGACUGUUAGACUUUCUUCAGUGAAGAUGGCUGACAAAAAUUAUAAUAUUUUUUAAACUUAAUUAACAACAAAUCAAUACAGGAAGUACAUGUGGGAACACAAGUGUAUAUAUAAAUAAUAUACAAAGGACAAUUGGGCUAGGGGCGGGGCUAGGGGGUACAAUAUCACAUUACAUAAGGACCCUUAAGGGACAUACAUACACUUACAAUUCUAACAGCUUUUAUGUUAGUAGAGUAUUUAAUUAUUUUAAGACACAGUUCAAUUUCUUUUUUGUAAGGUACUAGGAUGGAGGCAAAAGGACUCCUGAAACAACCAGCAAACCAGGC
Long non-coding RNA from Oncorhynchus nerka (sockeye salmon), 377 nucleotides. RefSeq lists it as uncharacterized. The record is from RefSeq and is a predicted model, not a curated record. NCBI's taxonomy places the organism in Eukaryota, Metazoa, Chordata, Actinopteri, Salmoniformes, Salmonidae. The transcript is spliced from 3 exons.